GAGUUUGAUCAUGGCUCAGAUUGAACGCUGGCGGCAGGCCUAACACAUGCAAGUCGAGCGGAUGACGGGAGCUUGCUCCUUGAUUCAGCGGCGGACGGGUGAGUAAUGCCUGGGAAUCUGCCUGGUAGUGGGGGACAACGUUUCGAAAGGUAACGCUAAUACCGCAUACGUCCUACGGGAGAAAGCAGGGGACCUUCGGGCCUUGCGCUAUCAGAUGAGCCUAGUCGGAUUAGCUAGUUGGUGGGUAAUGGCUCACCAAGGCGACGAUCCGUAACUGGUCUGAGAGGAUGAUCAGUCACACUGGAAUUGAGACACGGUCCAGACUCCUACGGGAGGCAGCAGUGGGGAAUAUUGGACAAUGGGCGAAAGCCUGAUCCAGCCAUGCCGCGUGUGUGAAGAAGGUCUUCGGAUUGUAAAGCACUUUAAGUU
Molecule: ribosomal RNA, 429 nt
Filed under: bacterium enrichment culture clone ALO1_GLFRUDD03G5LQS
Lineage: Bacteria
Description: bacterial SSU rRNA
Rfam family: Bacterial small subunit ribosomal RNA
Source: RNAcentral